CCUACGGGCGGCAGCAGUGGGGGAUAUUGCACAAUGGGGGGAACCCUGAUGCAGCGACGCCGCGUGUGGGAAGACGGUCCUCUGGAUUGUAAACCACUGUCCCCAGGGACGAAAAUGACGGUACCUGGGGAGGAAGCUCCGGCUAACUACGUGCCAGCAGCCGCGGUAAUACGUAGGGAGCGAGCGUUGUCCGGAAUUACUGGGUGUAAAGGGAGCGUAGGCGGGGAUGCAAGUUGGGUGUCAAAACUACCGGCUCAACUGGUAGUCGCAGUUAAAACCGGAGCUCUUGAGUGAAGUAGAGGCAGGCGGAAUUCCUAGUGUAGCGGUGAAAUGCGUAGAUAUUAGGAGGAACACCAGUGGCGAAGGCGGCCUGCUGGGCUUUUACUGACGCUGAGGCUCGAAAGUGUGGGGAGCAAACAGGAUUAGAUACCCGUGUAGUC
RNAcentral lists this ribosomal RNA (440 nucleotides) under uncultured bacterium. Its description in RNAcentral is "partial 16S ribosomal RNA". It matches the Rfam family "Bacterial small subunit ribosomal RNA", at positions 338 to 795 of the family's 1533-position model. The record is from RNAcentral.